This 207-nucleotide long non-coding RNA is filed under the name Physcomitrium patens. Its description in RNAcentral is "long non-coding RNA (PPAT_LNC005454)". Lineage: Eukaryota; Viridiplantae; Streptophyta; Bryopsida; Funariales; Funariaceae. The record is from RNAcentral.
GCAUAAAAAAAUCUAAAUCAAUGUUGAAUCUCUCUUUCUAAAAACUUCAGUAAAAAAAAUCCUAUUUGAUUCCAAAACCUUCAUCCCAAUCUUCUUCCAAUACCUGCCUUAGACUAUUAUAUAGUUAGAUAUCUAUCCUAAAAGAUAAUAUUUUCAAAUAAUCCAUUCAAGCCAACAACGUCUUAUUUCAAAUUCCAUUCAAAUUUA